Molecule: ribosomal RNA, 670 nt
Filed under: Yezoceryx sp. JM70
Lineage: Eukaryota; Metazoa; Arthropoda; Insecta; Hymenoptera; Ichneumonidae
Description: eukaryotic LSU rRNA
Source: RNAcentral
CCUGAGNAACCCGAAAGAUCGAUCGGGGAGAUUCAUCGUCANCGGCGCCGGCACGCGGNCGGCUCNCGAUGCAGCGCGUCGGCACGCGGCCGUCCGCGAGGAUGAACAUCAUCCUGGGAAAAAGGCCUGGAGUCGUCGGCAUGCACUUCUCGCCCAGUAGGACGUCGCGACCCGUCGGGUGUCGAUCCACGGCCCGGUGCGGGAGUCCGUCUCGCGCGGGGCGCCUCGCGGCGUCUCCAGCGGUUCGGACCCCCGGUCGCCCGAACGGCUGCCCGGCGGUACUCGCACGGUAUAUGGCCGCAUUUCCGNGACUCUCGAGUCCCGAGCGNUGCGUCCGGCCCGUCGUCAGCGUGGCAAGUAGUUCCCGGUGCGAGCGGAUCCGAGGUCGCCAUCGAGCCUGGCCAGCUGUCAGACCGACGGUGUGUUAUCUCUCACCUAGGACCGGCCAUAANGCGCAAGCAAAAUUGCGCCUCGCUAACGGUCGGCGACAGCUACUGCUUUGGGUACUUUCAGGACCCGUCUUGAAACACGGACCAAGGAGUCUAACAUGCGCGCGAGUCAUUGGGAAUGACUCAAGCCCAGAGGCGCAAUGAAAGUGAAGGCCCGGCCUCGCGUCGACCGAGGGAGGAUGGGCCGCGCGUUCUCGCGACNCGGCCCCGCACUCCCGGGG